Molecule: ribosomal RNA, 424 nt
Filed under: uncultured marine bacterium
Lineage: Bacteria
Description: bacterial SSU rRNA
Rfam family: Bacterial small subunit ribosomal RNA
Source: RNAcentral
AACGCGAAGAACCUUACCAACACUUGACAUGUUCGUCGCGACUCUAAGAGAUUAGAGUUUUCGGUUCGGCCGGACGAAACACAGGUGCUGCAUGGCUGUCGUCAGCUCGUGUCGUGAGAUGUUGGGUUAAGUCCCGCAACGAGCGCAACCCUCACUUUUAGUUGCCAUCAUUAAGUUGGGCACUCUGAAAGAACUGCCAGUGAUAAGCUGGAGGAAGGUGGGGAUGACGUCAAGUCCUCAUGGCCCUUACGUGUUGGGCUACACACGUGCUACAAUGGCAUCUACAACAGGAAGCAAAACGGCAACGUUAAGCAAAUCCCGAAAAGAUGCCUCAGUUCGGAUUGCACUCUGCAACUCGAGUGCAUGAAGCUGGAAUUACUAGUAAUCGUGGAUCAGCGUGCCACGGUGAAUGCGUUCCCGGGUC